Long non-coding RNA from Neoarius graeffei (lesser salmon catfish), 6935 nucleotides. RefSeq lists it as uncharacterized. Lineage: Eukaryota; Metazoa; Chordata; Actinopteri; Siluriformes; Ariidae. The record is from RefSeq and is a predicted model, not a curated record. The transcript is spliced from 3 exons.
UGAGUUGUUUGUGACGAGUCUUUUUUUUCCACGAGUGUUGGCGUUAAGAAGAACACCGAGACCAGAAGCUUUUUCUUUUUUUUCUCCUCCUGCGUAAAGACCACAAGCAGAGGCCAUCUACAUCGGAUCUGCUUUAAUAUCAACAGAUCUUCGAUUAAGUAUACCGCUUCUUGGCAUCUGUGGGCUCUUCCAAACGGCAUCUCACUGUACUUGUAUACUGACAAUAAAGAACAUCUACUUCUACGCUACUAUCCAAGCACACAAAUGAAUAAUUCAGUACCCUUUUCAAACUUAAAUAAAACAUUAUGAAUCAGUAACGUUUGUAAUAAUUCUUUUUUUAUUCAUUCUGUGUGCAUAAAGGGCAGAUAAAACAUAAUCAACAACAUAUAGGAUAGGAGCACAUAGGAUAACAGAGGAGCAACAGCUUUCAACUGUAGGUGCAACAACAUCUCAUUCUCUCUCUCUCAUUCUCUUUCUCUCACACACACACACACACACACACACACACACACACACACACACUCUCUCUCUCUCUCUCUCUCUCUCUCUCUCUCUCUCUCUCACACACACACACUUCAGAAAAGAAGAAUUCUCCGAUUGCCAUGCUUUGAGCUAAAACGCCUGACAAAUUCAUCCAAAUCCUUUCAUCAUUUGAACCUGCACCAUCCGAUAGAGCUAAUACAGAAAUAUGUCACAAAAUAAAUAACCCGUAUUUCUAUUCAAAAUGCCAUCUGACAACUACCAAUUUAGUUAUUUUAAUAAAUAAAAUGCAAUUAAGUACAUUACACCCAUACAACAUGGCAUCAUUACCUAGAGGGUUACUAUUACAGCUAAAGUUGAACUACAUACAAGUCUAGAACUAAAGUAGACCCUUAAACUGUGCAUUUCUCUUCUAUGCAAUCUCAAUUAAUACCAUUUCCAGAAAUACCGGUACAAUACAUUGUAUUAUUUGUAGUCAUCUGGUUUUGCCUACUACAUCAUGUUUUCUUUGACCUGGUGAAGAGGGGCUUGGGCUAGCAGACUGCUACUGCAGUUGUUGACCACCCUGUGGUGCUGGUGCCUGCGUACUUGUGCUGCCCUCGUUUAAACCCUCACUUUCAGUUUUUCUUUUGAUAAGAAACUGCUGAAUUCCCUGCGUCUUUCUUUUCAUGCUCUCUCUGUCUCUAUAUCUGCCAAACACGAUAGUUAAGAUUAACACAAAAUCUUGAGCUUUGAAUAAACAGGUCAAAGCUAUUGCUAUCUUACCAAACAAAUUACAACUUAACAUUGCUAACAAGCGCACUGCCACCAACAGUUUGGGGGUGGAACUGCACCAGUAUUGAAUUCUCCGGUUGUUCUUCUCGCCAGUUGAUUGACAGAACAGGGACACUUCAGGGGCCAAUCAAAUUAGAGGUGGGGCCACGGCCCCUGUGGCCCCGCACCUAGAACCGCCCCUGCCAAGGGGUGUCGGUCGUACUAACGCACACCUUUUUAAGUGGCAUAAGAAGGUUGAGACCUGUAUAUAUAACUUCAGAAAACAUAUCUAGCAAAUCUUCACAGCUUCCAUGAGGGGUAAGCAGGCUGGGCCAAUCAAUGCCAUUGAGAUAUCUUCCCAGUUCAGCUUUAUGACUUUCUUGUUUAUCUCGCUUGAGAACAAAUUUGGUUGUGCUCCUGUUUUCCCGAUUCUUUGCCUGUGCUGUAAUGGUAUCAUGGUCUGAAAGAUCUUAGGGUCGUCAUUGAACUCAAGUAAAUUAGUCAGCAUCAGAUCGAGGAUUGCAUCUUUUCUAGUUGGCUUCUUCACAGUUUGUUUAAGACGAAACUGCUUCUUCAGUGAUUUGACAUCUAGGUGGUUAAAAUUGCUUGCAAUGAUGAAUGCACAGUUUGGAUAGCGUGACUCAGCAAGUGAGAGGGACUUGAGCAAAUAAUCACACAUGGAAACGAUCUCAGACCAGUGAGGGUGGUAUAGUACCGCAAUGACAAGGGAGGAGAAACCUCUUGGGAGUUGGUUUGGUCGCAAAUGCACCCACAAGAUUUCAUGAUCAUCACAGCAUGAUAGUUCUUUGGACAAUUUGUAUUUUAAAUAUUCUUUGAUGUAAAGGCAAACCACACCAUGAUUAUUUGUUAUAUGAUCUCGCCGUGCAAUUGAAUAUCCGGGUAUAUCAACAACAGUGUCCACAAUAGCUGGUUUCAGCCAAGUUUCGGUGAUAAAAGCAAUGUCAACUUGAUUGCACAGGAUACAUUCUUGCACUUCGGUGAUCUUUGGCACUAAAGACAUCACAUUUGAAGUCACUAUCUUUGGGACAUGAAAAACUGACUUCUUGAUUACCUGGUCAGUACGAUUUGAUUUUAAAGUUCCCGCCACAGUUGAGCAAUCUCUGUCAGAAGCAAGUCUGGUAAAGGUAUUAGGUUGAAUAUUUAAUGUGGCUAGCAAGGAAUAAUGCAAAUUUUGAUCUUUCUGAGUUUUGGUAUCCAUCGUUGUAAAAUCAGUUUUCAGAAGAUGAUGAAUGAUUAACUUGUAAAAUCGAUCUACCAAAAGAUUUUGACUUUUGUUGACCUGCUCUGCAGCCCCGACGAGUUGUUUUUUUUCCUAGAAAUUCUGAGGUCGACCAAGUUUCGCCACAGACUCGGAGACAAUGGUUUGUUGGAAAUUGACGAAGAAAAUUGCACUGAGAAAGGAGCGAGUGUAAAACUUAGCCAUUUUUUCAGAUUAACAGGAGAUUUGAUUGAAAAAUAAAAUGAUAAAAGUCAUGAAAAGUCAGAGCAGAUUAGGAACAGUGUCACUCUUCAUUAUUAACUCAAAUUUUGCUCCUGAAAAUACUGAGCUGAUACACCAGCUGGUGUACAAGCCUCUUGUGCACAGGCAACCAGCUGUGUCCUGUACCGUGCUGAGAUUGUCUGACAAGGUGGAUGAAACUCUGAAGGAUUGUUUCAAUACAACGGUGUGGGAUUUAUUCAAAGAUUCACAUGGGGAGGACAUCGACAGCCUUACAGACUGCAUUACAGACUAUAUUAACUUUUGUGUGGAGAACAGUACAAACUAGAACUGUACGCAGGGUUUCUGCAGGCUUGAACAAGUUCAAUUUAAGACUUUUUAAGACCUUUUUAAGACCAUAACAGGUUAAAUUUAAGACUUAUGCCGCACAAAAAAAAAUAAAGAAAAUUGGGAGAGCCUGAAUUACUUUCGAAAUAACAAAAUUUAUCAUCAUUCACCAAUGAACCCAUUACAUCCCUAGGGUGCGCUCUUUCAUUAAUGAGGAACUAAGUUGCAGUGGAGCCAAAGACAUCCUGCAAAUCACUUGAGGAUGAGGCAUUUGAUUCCGUACGGUUUGCGUGUUGUAACGUUACAGUUUGCACGGAGUUAGCUGAUACACCGUCUCGAGAUGUGCUUGGACCUGACAACGGUGAACAAAAUUGAGUGAUGGCAUGCGAAUGUUGCAGACUUUUAUGGGCAGCCUGGUGCUUCUCCGCUUUCACGUGUGAUUCCAGUGCCUUUACACCCAGGGUGCUGAGUUUGAGUGUUCUUUUGCACAAUGUGCAGUACGCCUCAAAUGGAUUGUUUGGUACACGUUUUAACCAGUCUACGAAAUCAUUGCGUUCAAGCCAGCAGUCGUUAAACUUGCAUUUGCCCAUUUUGCUACAAACCGUGACAAUAGGGCUGUGUGAUAUGGGAAAAAAUGAAUAUCCUGAUACAUUUUCUCCAUUUCACGAUAUAUCUCAUCUCAUCUCAUUAUCUCUAGCCGCUUUAUCCUUCUACAGGGUCGCAGGCAAGCUGGAGCCUAUCCCAGCUGACUACGGGCGAAAGGCGGGGUACACCCUGGACAAGUCGCCAGGUCAUCACAGGGCUGACACAUAGACACAGACAACCAUUCACACCUACGGUCAAUUUAGAGUCACCAGUUAACUUAACCUGCAUGUCUUUGGACUGUGGGGGAAACCAGAGCACCCGGAGGAAACCCACACGGACACGGGGAGAACAUGCAAACUCCACACAGAAAGGCCCUCGCCGGCCCCGGGGCUCGAACCCAGGACCUUCUUGCUGUGAGGCGACAGCGCUAACCACUACACCACCGUGCUGCCUAUAUACGAUAUAUAUCUCAAUAUAUUUAAAUCUCCUCUAAAGGACCCCAUGAAAUCUAACUUUUACUCUUUACUGUUUUCACUACAAUCCCUGCAGAUUAAAUAACAUUCUUGGUUAACUUUACAGGUGGUUUUCAACAACACAUUUUAAAUUUUCAUGUUGGUGAUUAAUCACAAUUGAAUUGAAAUAAGACUAUUUUUAUUCAACAAAAAUGUGGCACAAACUGCAAAAACAAUCUUGAAAAUUGCAACAACGGGGCAACACAAUACAGAGCUGCUCAGAGCUCAAAUCAAUAAAGUGCAAGCUCAACACUGAGAAAGACAUUUAGCCUCAAUAAGAAAAGUGCUCAUUCAUUAAAUUAUUUAAAAAAAUAGAUCUCCAAGCUAUUAACCUGACUACUGAGAACCACUGGAGCAUUCACAAUAGAGAGAGAGAUUGAGGGAGAGAAGAGAGAGAUCUGCAAAACAUCAUUUUUCUCUUUGCACACUUUUGAACUGAAUGUUUUCUGGCUCUGCCUCUCAGAUAUGUAUAAUUCCAGUAUUGCCUUCUCUGUAAAAUGUCUGCGACCAGGCAACUCAUCGAGUGUGUUUAGUAAUUUUUGGAAGCCUGGUUUUUCCACUAUACUAACUGGGAUCAUGUCUUCGGCAAUGAAGUUAGUGAUUGCAUCCGUUAUAGCUCUCCAUCUCUGACUCGUUUUCUCAUAUGGGGUGGCUUUGGAGAACGAGGCCGCUAUGGUCAUUUGUUUAGCUCGUGGGGGUUUUUAGCUCGUGGGCAAGUAGUUCAGAGUUUAAGAGACUCUUCAUACUGUACCGGGUGCGUUUCAGGUGAUGGAACAUAUUUGUCGUGCUGCUGCCUUUCGUGAUGACAGGUUUUUUUGCACACUUUACAAACUGGCAUUUGCUGUUCCACGUCCUCCUCGCGAUAUCCAAAAAAUGCCAGAUGACUGACCCCUUACUAGUUCUUUUAGGAACCAAUUCGUCUGCUUCCAUUUUUAAUUUGUCGCUGAAAUUGACAGAGCUUACACGGUAGCCUAUGCAACACCAGCAAUUGCACGAACUGAGUCAGCACUGUAAACCAGAACCAGGAAAUCUUCCCGCCAGCAGUGUUGCCAGAUACUGCUGACGUUUUCCAGCCCAAAAUAUGUUCAAAACCCGCCAAAACGCACUUAAAACCGCUCAAUCUGGCAACACAACCGAAACUAGAAAAUCUUCCCGGAAGUUCCUUUCAGCACCUAGAUGCCAACCAAUCCCGGGUGACAUCUAGGUGCUGAAAGGAACUUCCGGGAAGAUUUUCUACGUGCAGAAUAAUUCUGCACGUAACCUAGGUCUUAAAUUACCCAAAUGAGAUUUUAGACCAACAGUGCAAAAUAUCUCUGUAUUUUAGACUUUUUUAGGCCUAAAAUUGAAAAUGUGUAAUUUUAGACUUUUUUAGACUCCGUGGACACCCUGUGUACAGUGUUUCUUCAACAACAAACCGUGGAUUAAACUGGACAUAAAGACUCUUCUCAAGGAGAAGAGGAGGGUUUUCAGGCCUGAAGACAAGCAGGAGCUGAAGGCUGUGCAGAGGAAGCUGAGGAGAAGGAUUAGAGAGGGAAAGAGGAGCUACAGGAGGAAAAUGGAGGAGCAGCUGCAGCAGAACACCACCAAAGGAGUUUGGAGAGGACUAAAGACCAUCUCUGGCUACCAGUCUUCAAACUCCCAGGCUGAGGAAGACCAGCAGUGGGCAAAUGACCUGAAUCACUUCUUCAAUAGAUUUGAUCAGGCGUCUGCACCUCCCCCGGCCCAGACACCUCGGCUGCAGCCCUCGUCGUUCACACCUCAAGGACUCUGCCCCUCCCCUACCUUCUCCCUCCUCCCAAUGCCUAGCAGCUCACAGCCACCACACACACACCAACUCCCACCCCCACUCACCACUCAUGGAUUCAUACAUCACCCCACAUUAAAACCACCACGAACACACAGCCCACCUGCUCCAACCUGUCCCUCACAACAUUCCAGGUGAGGAACCAGCUGAGGAAGAUGAAGGCAAGGAAGGCUGUGGGUCUGGAUGGAAUCAGCUCCAGGCUCCUCAGGUCCUGUGCAGACAAGCUGUGCAGGAUAGUUGGACAUCUGCUCAACCUGAGCUUGAAGCUGGGGAGAGUACCACCGCUAUGAAAGACAUCCUGCAUGGUACCUGUGCCCAAGACUCCACACCCCAAGGACCUCAACAGCUACAGGCCAGUGGCACUACCAUCACACCUGAUGAAGAUCCUGGAGCGGUUGGUCCUGGUUCAUCUGUGCCCCGUGGUGUGCCCGUCCAUGGACCCGCUGUAGUUCACCUACCAGCCAGGCAUCAGGGUGAACGACGCCAUCAUCUUCCUCCUUCACCAAGCUCUGUCUCACCUGGAGAAGCCUGGAAGUUCUGCAAGAAUAACAUAUUUAAUAAAAAAAUAUAUAUUUUUUAUUUCUCCAGUGCUUUCAAUACCAUCCAGCCUGCACUUUUGGAGGACAAGCUGGAGCACGCAGGAGUAGACCACCACCUCACAUUGUGGACUACCUCACUGACCGUCCACAGUAUGUGAGGACAUGGGACUGUGUCAGACAUGGUUGUCUGCAGCACAGGGGCCCUGCAGGGAACAGUUCUGGCCCCGUUCCUGUUCACCCUCUACACUGCAGACUUCUCCUAUAAUUCACCCACCUGUCACCUGCAGAAGUUCUCUGACAACUCUGCUAAUAUUGGUCUUGUCACAGAUGGGGCAACAAGGAGUACAGAGGACUGUUGCAGGACUUUGUGGACAGGUGCUAGCGAAACCACCUCCAGAUCAACACAGGGAAAACUAAGGAGCUGGUGGUGGAUUUUUGCAGGUGCUCUCAUUCCCCCCAAACACCAGUCAGCAUCC